Molecule: ribosomal RNA, 1331 nt
Filed under: uncultured bacterium
Lineage: Bacteria
Description: bacterial SSU rRNA
Rfam family: Bacterial small subunit ribosomal RNA
Source: RNAcentral
CGUGCCUAACGCAUGCAAGUCGAACGGGAAUAGGAUGAAACCUAGUGAUUCCUAUUCUAGUGGCGGACGGGUGAGUAACGCGUGGGUAACCUGCCUUGCACUGGGGGAUAACACUUAGAAAUAGGUGCUAAUACCGCAUAAGCGCACAGAACCGCAUGGUUCGGUGUGAAAAACUCCGGUGGUGUAAGAUGGACCCGCGUCUGAUUAGCUGGUUGGUGAGGUAACGGCUCACCAAGGCGACGAUCAGUAGCCGGCCUGAGAGGGUGAACGGCCACAUUGGGACUGAGACACGGCCCAAACUCCUACGGGAGGCAGCAGUGGGGAAUAUUGCACAAUGGGGGAAACCCUGAUGCAGCAACGCCGCGUGAGUGAAGAAGUCAUUCGUGAUGUAAAGCUCUAUCAGCAGGGAAGAAAAUGACGGUACCUGACUAAGAAGCCCCGGCUAACUACGUGCCAGCAGCCGCGGUAAUACGUAGGGGGCAAGCGUUAUCCGGAUUUACUGGGUGUAAAGGGAGCGUAGACGGCGACGCAAGUCUGAAGUGAAAUGCCAGUGCUCAACACUGGAACUGCUUUGGAAACUGUGUAGCUAGAGUGCAGGAGAGGUAAGUGGAAUUCCUAGUGUAGCGGUGAAAUGCGUAGAUAUUAGGAGGAACACCAGUGGCGAAGGCGGCUUACUGGACUGUAACUGACGUUGAGGCUCGAAGGCGUGGGGAGCAAACAGGAUUAGAUACCCUGGUAGUCCACGCGGUAAACGAUGAUUACUAGGUGUCGGGGGGCUAUAGCCCUUCGGUGCCGCCGCAAACGCAAUAAGUAAUCCAUCUUGGGGAGUACGUUCGCAAGAAUGAAACUCAAAGGAAUUGACGGGGACCCGCACAAGCGGUGGAGCAUGUGGUUUAAUCCGAAGCAACGCGAAGAACCUUACCAAGUCUUGACAUCUGGAUGACAGGGACGUAACGGUCCCCUUACUUCGGUACAUCCAAGACAGGUGGUGCAUGGUUGUCGUCAGCUCGUGUCGUGAGAUGUUGGGUUAAGUCCCGCAACGAGCGCAACCCUUAUCUUCAGUAGCCAGCAGGUAAAGCCGGGCACUCUGGAGAGACUGCCGGGGAUAACCCGGAGGAAGGUGGGGAUGACGUCAAAUCAUCAUGCCCCUUAUGAUUUGGGCUACACACGUGCUACAAUGGCGUAAACAGAGGGAAGCGAGCCCGCGAGGGGGAGCAAAUCCCAAAAAUAACGUCCCAGUUCGGAUUGUAGUCUGCAACCCGACUACAUGAAGCUGGAAUCGCUAGUAAUCGCGAAUCAGAAUGCCGCGGUGAAUACGUUCCCGGGUCUUG